UGGUUGGACAAGAAAUAAUCUGUCUUAAUUUAACAUAUUGAAUUUAACUUUUAAGUGAAAAGGCUUAAAUGAUCUGAAGGGACGAUAAGACCCUAUAAAACUUUAUACUUAUAAAUAUAGUAGUCAGUUUUAUGUAGUGUUAUUAUUUUGAAGUAUUCGGUUGGGGUGACAAGGAUAAAAUAAAAAAUAACUGUCUUUUUUGUUUACAAAGAUAUUUGGUUAGAUGAUCCUAAGAAUGGAUUAUAAGAUUAAGUUACUUUAGGGAUAACAGCGUAAUUUUCUUUAAGAGUUCUUAUCGACAAGAAAGUUUGCGACCUCGAUGUUGAAUUAAG
This 332-nucleotide ribosomal RNA is filed under the name Procambarus llamasi. RNAcentral's name for it is "partial 16S ribosomal RNA". The record is from RNAcentral. Lineage: Eukaryota; Metazoa; Arthropoda; Malacostraca; Decapoda; Cambaridae.